RNAcentral lists this small RNA (316 nucleotides) under uncultured bacterium. Its description in RNAcentral is "bacterial SSU rRNA". It matches the Rfam family "Bacterial small subunit ribosomal RNA", at positions 61 to 358 of the family's 1533-position model. The record is from RNAcentral.
GUCGUACGAGAAACACGUCCUUCGGGAUGUGGAGUAAAGUGCCGCACGGGUGAGUAACACGUGGGUAACCUGCCUCGGGGACCGGGAUAACUCCGCGAAAGCGGGGCUAAUACCGGAUAAGACCGCAUGAGCUUCGGCUCAAGGGGUCAAAGUCGGCCUCUCGAAGAAGCCGGCGCCUGGAGAUGGGCUCGCGGACCAUUAGCUUGUUGGUAGGGUAACGGCCUACCAAGGCCAAGAUGGUUAGCUGGUCUGAGAGGAUGAUCAGCCACACUGGAACUGACACACGGUCCAGACUCCUACGGGAGGCAGCAGUGGG